AGUGAACGCUGGCGGUAGGCCUAACACAUGCAAGUCGAACGGCAGCACAGAGGAGCUUGCUCCUUGGGUGGCGAGUGGCGGACGGGUGAGGAAUACAUCGGAAUCUACUCUGUCGUGGGGGAUAACGUAGGGAAACCUACGCUAAUACCGCAUACGACCUACGGGUGAAAGCAGGGGACCUUCGGGCCUUGCGCGAUUGAAUGAGCCGAUGUCGGAUUAGCUAGUUGGCGGGGUAAAGGCCCACCAAGGCGACGAUCCGUAGCUGGUCUGAGAGGAUGAUCAGCCACACUGGAACUGAGACACGGUCCAGACUCCUACGGGAGGCAGCAGUGGGGAAUAUUGGACAAUGGGCGCAAGCCUGAUCCAGCCAUACCGCGUGGGUGAAGAAGGCCUUCGGGUUGUAAAGCCCUUUUGUUGGGAAAGAAAUCCAGCUGGCUAAUACCCGGUUGAGAUGACGGUACCCAAAGAAUAAGCACCGGCUAACUUCGUGCCAGCAGCCGCAGUAA
Molecule: ribosomal RNA, 506 nt
Filed under: uncultured bacterium
Lineage: Bacteria
Description: partial 16S ribosomal RNA
Rfam family: Bacterial small subunit ribosomal RNA
Source: RNAcentral